AUUGAACGCUGGCGGCAGGCCUAACACAUGCAAGUCGAGCGGACGAAGGGAGCUUGCUCCUGGAUUCAGCGGCGGACGGGCGAGUAAUGCCUAGGAAUCUGCCCGGUAGUGGGGGAUAACGUCCGGAAACGGGCGCUAAUACCGCAUACGUCCAGAUGGAGAAAGGGGGGGAUCUUCGGACACCACGCUAUCUGAUGAGCCUAGGUCGGAUUAGCUAGUUGGUGGGGUAAAGGCCUACCAAGGCGACGAUCCAUAACUGGUCUGAGAGGAUGAUCAGUCACACUGGAACUGAGACACGGUCCAGACUCCUACGGGAGGCAGCAGUAGGGAAUAUUGCGCAAUGGGCGAAAGCCUGAUCCAGCCAUGCCGCGUGUGUGAAGAAGGUCUUCGGAUUGUAAAACACUUUAAGUUGGGAAGAAGAGCAGUAAGUUUAUCCCUGCCUGUUUUGACGUUACCAACAGAAAAAGCACCGGCUAACUUCGUG
This 484-nucleotide ribosomal RNA is filed under the name uncultured bacterium. RNAcentral's name for it is "partial 16S ribosomal RNA". It matches the Rfam family "Bacterial small subunit ribosomal RNA", at positions 30 to 507 of the family's 1533-position model. The record is from RNAcentral.